This 228-nucleotide long non-coding RNA is filed under the name Eucalyptus grandis. Its description in RNAcentral is "long non-coding RNA (EGRA_LNC002738)". The record is from RNAcentral. Lineage: Eukaryota; Viridiplantae; Streptophyta; Magnoliopsida; Myrtales; Myrtaceae.
AGAAAAAGAAAAAUUAGGUGUCCGGUUAUUUAGAAAUCAUGUUCAAGGCAUGCAUUUUUAUUAGCAUUUUUUGUUGAAUGUUAUUUUAUUGAUUGUGCACCCGCAUGACCACCAUUUGCAUGUUAGUAGCUUAAGUUAAAAUUAAUCAACAUUGCCUGCAAAAUAUUUUUGAAAUUAAAAUAAAAGGUACCGAAAGGGCGUUAGAUUAAUCUAGCGUAAUCAUGUCCC